RNAcentral lists this ribosomal RNA (548 nucleotides) under uncultured Glomus. RNAcentral describes it as "SSU rRNA". It matches the Rfam family "Eukaryotic small subunit ribosomal RNA", at positions 548 to 1098 of the family's 1831-position model. Lineage: Eukaryota; Fungi; Glomeromycota; Glomeromycetes; Glomerales; Glomeraceae. The record is from RNAcentral.
UUGGAGGGCAAGUCUGGUGCCAGCAGCCGCGGUAAUUCCAGCUUCAAUAGCGUAUAUUAAAGUUGUUGCAGUUAAAAAGCUCGUAGUUGAAUUUCGAGACCGGUUUAUUGGUCGUGCUUUUGUACGUACUGGUAUUAUUGGUUUCUCCUUUCUGACGAAUCUUAAUGCCAUUAAUUUGGUGUUUUGGGGAAUCAGGACUGUUACUUUGAAAAAAUUAGAGUGUUUAAAGCAGGCUCACGCUUGAAUACAUUAGCAUGGAAUAACGGAAUAGGACGUUUGAUUCUAUUUUGUUGGUUUCUAGGAUCGACGUAAUGAUUAAUAGGGAUAGUUGGGGGCAUUAGUAUUCAAUUGUCAGAGGUGAAAUUCUUGGAUUUAUUGAAGACUAACUACUGCGAAAGCAUUUGCCAAGGAUGUUUUCAUUAAUCAAGAACGAAAGUUAGGGGAUCGAAGACGAUCAGAUACCGUCGUAGUCUUAACCAUAAACUAUGCCGACUAGGGAUCGGAUGAUGUUAAUUUUUUAAUGACUCAUUCGGCGCCUUACGGGAAAC